GCGGGAGUAGCUCAGUGGUAGAGCAUCUGCUUCCCAAGCAGAGGGUCGCGGGUCCGAUCCCCGUCUCCCGCUCCA
This 75-nucleotide transfer RNA is filed under the name subsurface metagenome. Its description in RNAcentral is "tRNA-Gly". It matches the Rfam family "tRNA". From Rfam's summary of the family: Transfer RNA (tRNA) molecules are approximately 80 nucleotides in length. Their secondary structure includes four short double-helical elements and three loops (D, anti-codon, and T loops). The record is from RNAcentral.